Molecule: ribosomal RNA, 511 nt
Filed under: uncultured bacterium
Lineage: Bacteria
Description: partial 16S ribosomal RNA
Rfam family: Bacterial small subunit ribosomal RNA
Source: RNAcentral
GACGAACGCUGGCGGCGUGCCUAAUACAUGCAAGUCGAGCGGAUCUUCAUUAGCUUGCUUUUGAAGAUCAGCGGCGGACGGGUGAGUAACACGUGGGCAACCUGCCUGUAAGACUGGGAUAACUUCGGGAAACCGGAGCUAAUACCGGAUAAUCCUUUUCCUCUCAUGAGGAAAAGCUGAAAGACGGUUUCGGCUGUCACUUCCAGAUGGGCCCGCGGCGCAUUAGCGAGUUGGUGGGGUAACGGAUCAACAAGGCGACGAUGCGUAGCCGACCUGAGAGGGUGGUCGGCCACACUGGGACUGAGACACGGCCCAGAAUCCUACGGGAGGCAGCAGUAGGGAAUCUUCCGCAAUGGACGAAAGUCUGACGGAGCAACGCCGCGUGAGCGAUGAAGGCCUUCGGGUCGUAAAGCUCUGUUGUCAGGGAAGAACAAGUACCGGAGUAACUGCCGGUACUUGACGGUACCUGACCAGAAAGCCACGGCUAACUACGUGCCAGCAGCCGCUGUAA